This is a long non-coding RNA of Cervus hanglu yarkandensis (Yarkand deer), 1988 nucleotides long. Lineage: Eukaryota; Metazoa; Chordata; Mammalia; Artiodactyla; Cervidae. The record is from Ensembl.
GGGGAAGGGGCGACAGAGGAUGAGAUGGCUGGAUGGCAGCACCAACUCGAUGGGCAUGAGUUUGAGUAAACUCCGGAAGUUUGUGAUGGACAGGGAGGCCUGGCGUGCUGCGAUUCAUGGGGUCGCAAAGAGUCGGCCACGACUGAGAGACGGAACUGAACUGAAAAGCAUAAGUCUUCCAACUGGGGCUUCGUAUCAGCAUCAGCUUGUACAGUCAAGUCAUGCAGUCUUUGCAUGGAUUAUUUUACUGCAUGGACAAUUAGAGGUUAGAUUUGCCAAGGAAGCUACUAUAGCAAAAUCUGGUUUUCUUGCUAGGAGUUAGAAACCUCAUUAAACCAGAAGGACAACUGAAAAUUUAAGCUUCAUUAGACAAUACUAGGAAGCACUUGUUCAAAUUUGAUGUAUUUAUAUAACAUGGCUUUUUUUCUUUUGAUCAGAGCCUCAAAUUCUAAUUCAAUUGGUCAGCUCAGGCCUGUCUUCUUAUGAUUCACUGGCUGCAAAACCAGGACACUGUGCCUAUAUCAAUAUAUAUAUAAUAGUCAGGACAAUAUCUACUUCUAAACUUUUACAGAUAUGUUUAAAAUUUUAGUUCUACAACCUAAAUAUUCAAACAAUUGGGUGUGGUGAGCUGUGAUUCAUCUUCUCGAUUCCAAUAAAUAUGGCACAUUGCAUUUACAAUAGGGAAAGCUGUAAUUAGGUGUGUUUUUAUGAUUUAGCUCUGAUUUAAUCAACUCACCCCAGGUAGUCAGACAUAUUUUCUGACUGACAUAUGUCAGAAACUGACAUAGUUUCUGUCAGUACAGGAAUCCACAUAUUCUGAACCGAAUCUUUCUCCUGCAGAGGCUACAGCACACCUCUCUGUAAGCUUCUGGAGAACUUUUAAAUCAUUCUUUAAUUAAUGCUUUCAGCAUCCCUGUGACCUCAUUAUGCUGUUGUUAUUAAGCACUUUAUUUUCUUGGUCCCAAGAGUUCCUCAGAGCAAAUACAUGUUUCCCAGCAGACAUUUAUAUUUUCCGACAGAAGAGUUGGCUUCCCAUGCAUGAUAUAAAGCAAAUGUUAAUUAGGAUGAUGGUUAAGAUGGCCCAGACUCUUUCCAAACAUUUUCACAGUUGGCAGCAUUCCACUUUCCUCUUCCUGUAAGCCGAGAAACCUAAGUGGUUAUUUUUCUUCUUGGGGUAGAAAUAUCUAGGUAAAAGCAGUCAACGAAUAUUCAGAGUGGCUUAGCCAAAAGAUAUCCUGAGAAAAGCUCCCUAUUUAGGGCUCUCAUAGAAUGCCAUGAGGAGGGCUUCCCUGGUGGUCCAGUGGUUAAGAAUCUGCCUGCCAAUGCAGGGGACAUGGGUUCCAUCCCUGGCCUGGGAAGAUCCCACGUGCCUCGGGGCAACUAAGGCUGUGGGCCACAACUAUUAAGCCUGUGCUCUAGAGCCCAUGAGCCACGACUACUGAGCCCCCACACAUAGAGCCAGCCGCUGCUCCCCAACAAGCAAAGUCAGGGCAGUAAGAAGCCUGAACACACAACUAAGAGUAGCCCGUGCUGGCGGCAAUCAGAGAAACCUGCCCGCAGGAACAAAGACCCAGCGCAGUCAAAAAUAAAUUAAUACAUCUUUAGGAAAAAAAUACCAAGAGGAGGUUCAAUUCCUACGUUUCUGGAGGUCACAAUUAGCCCAGCUAUACUCUUUGACUCACAAGUCACUUCUGGGUAAUUUUCCAAAGAAAAAAUUAUAGAUGUGCAGACAGUUUGGAUGUGAAAGCUUAUGAAUGUUGGUAUCAUAGCACUGUUUACCAAUAGUGUCAAAUCUGGGAAAAACCUAUCUUUUUAAAAAUAGAUCAUAGGAUAUCCAUACAGUGGAAUUCUAUAAAGACUUUUUAAAAACUUUAAUAUAUGACGUGAAAAAUAUGUAUGAUUUAGUAUUACACAUAAACAAGCAGAUAAUGAAACAGCAUGUCUAGAGUUAUCUCGUUUUCUUAAUAUACAUACAUGUGUGACUGAAA